UACAUGCAAGUCGAACGGUAACAGGUCGAACCUAGUUUGAUGCUGACGAGUGGGCACGGGUGAAUAACGCGUACGCAACCUACCCUCAAGAGGGGGAUAGCCCUGGGAAACUGGGAUUAAUACCCCAUGUGGUCAUAUAGUGGCAUCGCUGUAUGAUUAAAGUGUUAGUGCUUGAGGAUGGGCGUGCGUUCUAUUAGGCAGUUGGUGAGGUAACGGCUCACCAAGCCGAUGAUAGAUAGGGGGCGUGAGAGCGUGGUCCCCCACACGGGUACUGAGACACGGACCCGACUCCUACGGGAGGCAGCAGUAAGGAAUAUUGGUCAAUGGACGCAAGUCUGAACCAGCCAUCCCGCGUGCAGGAUGACGGCCCUAUGGGUUGUAAACUGCUUUUAUAGAAGACGAAACCCCUGGAUUCAUCUGGGGCUGACGGUAUUCUACGAAUAAGCACCGGCUAACUCCGUGCCAGCAGCCGCGGUAAUACGGAGGGUGCAAGCGUUAUCCGGAAUCACUGGGUUUAAAGGGUGCGUAGGCGGCCUAAUAAGUCAGAGGUGAAAGCUCGGCGCUUAACGUCGGAAUUGCCUUUGAUACUGUUGGGCUUGAAUCAGGUUGAGGUAAGCGGAAUGUGACAUGUAGCGGUGAAAUGCAUAGAUAUGUCAUAGAACACCAAAUUGCGAAGGCAGCUUACUGGACCUGUAUUGACGCUGAGGCACGGAAGCGUGGGGAGCGAAACAGGAUUAGAUACCCUGGUAGUCCCACGCCCUAAACGAUGCUAACUCGAUGUGUGA
This 785-nucleotide ribosomal RNA is filed under the name uncultured organism. RNAcentral describes it as "bacterial SSU rRNA". It matches the Rfam family "Bacterial small subunit ribosomal RNA", at positions 52 to 827 of the family's 1533-position model. The record is from RNAcentral.